UAAGACCUUGCGCUAUUGGAUGAGCCGAAGUCGGAUUAGCUAGUUGGUGAGGUAACGGCUCACCAAGGCGACAAUCCGUAGCUGGUCUGAGAGGACGACCAGCCACACUGGGACUGAGACACGGCCCAGACUCCUACGGGAGGCAGCAGUGGGGAAUAUUGGACAAUGGGGGCAACCCUGAUCCAGCGACGCCGCGUGUGUGAAGAAGGCCUGCGGGUUGUAAAGCACUUUUAGUGGGGAUGAAAAGCCACGGAUUAAUACUUCGUGGUCUUGAUUUAACCCAAAGAAAAAGCACCGGCUAACUCUGUGCCAGCAGCCGCGGUAAUACAGAGGGUGCGAGCGUUAAUCGGAAUUACUGGGCGUAAAGCGCGCGUAGACGGUUUUGUAAGUCAGAUGUGAAAUCCCUGGGCUCAACCUGGGAACU
RNAcentral lists this ribosomal RNA (424 nucleotides) under uncultured bacterium. RNAcentral's name for it is "bacterial SSU rRNA". It matches the Rfam family "Bacterial small subunit ribosomal RNA", at positions 202 to 622 of the family's 1533-position model. The record is from RNAcentral.